Molecule: ribosomal RNA, 505 nt
Filed under: uncultured bacterium
Lineage: Bacteria
Description: partial 16S ribosomal RNA
Rfam family: Bacterial small subunit ribosomal RNA
Source: RNAcentral
GACGAACGCUGGCGGCGUGCCUAAUACAUGCAAGUAGAACGCACAGUUUAUACCGUAGCUUGCUACACCAUAGACUGUGAGUUGCGAACGGGUGAGUAACGCGUAGGUAACCUGCCUGGUAGCGGGGGAUAACUAUUGGAAACGAUAGCUAAUACCGCAUAAUAUUAAUUAUUGCAUGAUAUUAAAUUGAAAGGUGCAAUUGCACCACUACCAGAUGGACCUGCGUUGUAUUAGCUAGUAGGUGAGGUAACGGCUCACCUAGGCGACGAUACAUAGCCGACCUGAGAGGGUGAUCGGCCACACUGGGACUGAGACACGGCCCAGACUCCUACGGGAGGCAGCAGUAGGGAAUCUUCGGCAAUGGACGAAAGUCUGACCGAGCAACGCCGCGUGAGUGAAGAAGGUUUUCGGAUCGUAAAGCUCUGUUGUAAGAGAAGAACGGGUGUGAGAGUGGAAAGUUCACACUGUGACGGUAUCUUACCAGAAAGGGACGGCUAACUACGUG